RNAcentral lists this ribosomal RNA (253 nucleotides) under uncultured bacterium. RNAcentral's name for it is "partial 16S ribosomal RNA". It matches the Rfam family "Bacterial small subunit ribosomal RNA", at positions 524 to 776 of the family's 1533-position model. The record is from RNAcentral.
UACGUAGGGUGCGAGCGUUGUCCGGAAUUAUUGGGCGUAAAGAGCUCGUAGGCGGUUUGUCGCGUCGACUGUGAAAACCCGAGGCUUAACCUCGGGCCUGCAGUCGAUACGGGCAGACUAGAGUUCGGUAGGGGAGACUGGAAUUCCUGGUGUAGCGGUGAAAUGCGCAGAUAUCAGGAGGAACACCUAUGGCGAAGGCAGCUCGCUGGGACGGUACUGACGCUGAGGCGCGAAAGCGUGGGGAGCAAACAGG